Molecule: ribosomal RNA, 492 nt
Filed under: uncultured bacterium
Lineage: Bacteria
Description: partial 16S ribosomal RNA
Rfam family: Bacterial small subunit ribosomal RNA
Source: RNAcentral
AGUGAACGCUGGCGGUAGGCCUAACACAUGCAAGUCGAACGGCAGCACAGUAAGAGCUUGCUCUUACGGGUGGCGAGUGGCGGACGGGUGAGGAAUACAUCGGAAUCUACUUUUUCGUGGGGGAUAACGUAGGGAAACUUACGCUAAUACCGCAUACGACCUACGGGUGAAAGCAGGGGAUCUUCGGACCUUGCGCGAUUGAAUGAGCCGAUGUCGGAUUAGCUAGUUGGCGGGGUAAAGGCCCACCAAGGCGACGAUCCGUAGCUGGUCUGAGAGGAUGAUCAGCCACACUGGAACUGGAACGCGGUCCAGACUCCUACGGGAGGCGGCAGUGGGGAAUAUUGGACAAUGGGCGCAAGCCUGAUCCAGCCAUACCGCGUGGGUGAAGAAGGCCUUCGGGUUGUAAAGCCCUUUUGUUGGGAAAGAAAAGCAGCAGGUUAAUACCCCGCUGUUCUGACGGUACCCAAAGAAUAAGCACCGGCUAACUUCGUG